This 253-nucleotide ribosomal RNA is filed under the name uncultured Eubacteriales bacterium. RNAcentral's name for it is "uncultured Clostridiales bacterium partial 16S ribosomal RNA". It matches the Rfam family "Bacterial small subunit ribosomal RNA", at positions 524 to 776 of the family's 1533-position model. The record is from RNAcentral. Lineage: Bacteria; Bacillati; Bacillota; Clostridia; Eubacteriales.
UACGUAGGGGGCAAGCGUUAUCCGGAUUUACUGGGUGUAAAGGGAGCGUAGACGGCGCUGCAAGUCCGGAGUGAAAGCCCAUGGCUUAACCAUGGUACUGCUCUGGAAACUGUGGAGCUUGAGUGCGGGAGGGGCAGGCGGAAUUCCUAGUGUAGCGGUGAAAUGCGUAGAGAUCGGGAGGAACACCAGUGGCGAAGGCGGCCUACUGGGCUCUAACUGACGCUGAGGCACGAAAGCGUGGGUAGCAAACAGG